RNAcentral lists this long non-coding RNA (3931 nucleotides) under Lactuca sativa (garden lettuce). RNAcentral describes it as "long non-coding RNA (LSAT_LNC000687)". Lineage: Eukaryota; Viridiplantae; Streptophyta; Magnoliopsida; Asterales; Asteraceae. The record is from RNAcentral.
UUAAAAGUAAGUUCCCACCCAAUUUCCCUGUCUUUCUUUUAAUUUUUCACUCUUUAUAAAUUACCUCACAUAUUCACUACUCAAAAACAAGUUAGAAACUGUGUGUUUUAUAGAAGAGAAUCAGUAAUAAUAAGUAUAUGUGCCCCCGCCACCUUUCCAACGUUGAAAAUACAUAGAGCAAAUCGACAUGCUUUCUCAUUGUCACAAGUUGUAAAUCUAACUUGUAAGUAUGUAAAAGCACCUCAUAAUAUAAUUAUUUAUGAGUUAAUGUACACUAUGUUAAUGCCAUUAAAGUCUUUGAUUUUGUGUACGUUUAUUCUUACUAGGAAAAGGAAAAGCUUUUAUGAAAAAGAUUAUAAUAACAAGUAUAAAAUAUGAUAUGAAAUUGCAUUGCAUUGUAUUUUUUUUAAAAUUAUUUUAAUAGCUAGUCAAUAUAUUACAAAUUAUAUAAUGCCACUACACUAUAGACAUCGAAAGUGAAACAAUGAGAAACAUUUUCUGGACAACAUAACCUUAAUUUUUCAUUAGAAGUGUUAGAUAUUUUCAAAAUUAAAUAAAUUAUUAUGUAUAAAUACCCUUCUCUAUCUGAAAAAACCAUACAUUAUGUAUAAAUAAAUAUAUAUAUUUUUAAAAAACAUUUUCGACAUAAAAAGAAACGCUAAAAAGUAGAAUCUAUUCACGUGUUUGGUUCUACAAAGGGAAUUUAAUCCCCACUCAUCUGAGAUACACUGCACUUCAUCUUCAUCUGCUUUCCUUUCUCCCUCUUCAUCUACACUUCCUUUGCCGGCGAACAAUCUCUCUUCUGAAAGCCCACCAACUUAACUUCGCCACCGAUGCACCAAACGUCCUCAUCAGCAGCCUCUGUGGAAGCAUUUUAUAUGAAGAAUCAGUGUUGUCGAUAACUGUGUCCAGAUUGCAAUUGAUCAAACGCGUGGUGGACAAGGUUGCAGGAAGAACACAUGGGGAAAAAAAGGAGAUCCGGGUCUCCGCUCUCCGGUCACCACUCACAAGUAAGAUCGAUUAAUAUUUGGCCGGAAACCGACCGGUCUUGUUUAUAUUUCUAAUCAAUUUUCUUUCUUGCGUCAACUCAUGGUUAGGCCGUUCGAUGAUCAUGGUUGAACCUGUAUUUUUUUGUUAAUUUAUCUGUCCAUGACCUGUUGAUCAACAAUUAGGAAAAGAGUAUUAUAAUUUAGUCAUGGUUUUAUAUAUUAGUAGUAGAUCUUUAAAUUUGCAUUUCUUGUUGACUCUUUUGGAAAAAAUCAAGUAAAAACUUUUCUCUUAAUUGCUCUUAUAUCGAUUAUAUUUACUUUUUGUUGUAUGUAUGUCUACUAAUUACUAAUUGAUCACUAACUAUAUUAUAAAUUUUGAUGUACACAUUUUUUACAAUAAUCGAAGAGAGGAAUAAUUACUUAUUGAUCACUAACGAUUAGGUUUUAUUUGUAUUCUAUAGAUUAUAUAUCAAAUAUCUACUAAAUAAUACAAUAUACAAAGGUUUUCAUAAUAAUUUAACAGAGAGAUAAAAAGCUUUUCGUAUUUGGAAAUACCACUUUAAGCUUUUGUUUUCAAGAUAAAACGUCAUCAUCAUCCAUGUUUUUUUGUCAAAAGACCAUACUACCCUUCUUUUAAUAAAACCUUGUACUCCUUUUUAUCUUUUGUUGUAGAGAAACUCAUUUUAUUUUUUUACCAAAGACCACAUGAUUGACUUUGUUCCUAAAAAGAAAACAUCUUACUUUUUAAUUACUAAAUCUCGAUUGGUUUUAAUCUUCAGAGUUUUCAUCUUCUUAAGUUGCAUUAUUUCGAUUGUUGCAGCCUAAUCAUCAUCUUAAACUUAUUAUUAUUCUUUUGAUAUCCCACAAUUAGUGUUAACAUAUGGACAUAUGAUCAUGAUAUAUUGUGGUACAUGAAAUAUGUUGUCCAAAAAUUCACUAUAAUAGAAAAAUAAAAAAUUUAUUUUUGAAUAAUUUGAUAAGUAGUUUUAUAUAAUCAAUCUCCAAAUUUCAACAUAAAUAAUAAUAAUAAUAAAUAAUUAUUAUCGUUUCCAUGAUUUUGAAUGUAUGUUACAUAAAAGGAAGGAAAGGUGAACAUUUUUUUUUGUCUAUUUGUUGUUUAUAAAAAUAAAUGAUGUUAUUGCAUGAAAAGGAAAUAAUAGUUCACUUAAUUUCUUGUAAUAAAUAUAUUUUUUGUUACUUUUUCCAUUAAACACUUUCACAUUGUUGAAGUGACGAAGGAAGUUGUAAGGAAGGUUCCACAAAACUAGACUUGGCAAUCUAUGUCUGCGUGUCGUGUAUUCGUGUCACACAUGAAUUUACACGACAUGAAUUUGUUAAACACGAACACAACACGAAUUAUAAAACGUGUUUGGGGUAUCAAACACGAACACGACAUGUAAAAAAUUCGUGUGACACGUGACACCACACGAAUAGACACGUUUUUAAUGGCUUUUUUUUAAAGUUAGGGAUAUAAACUAAUUAUUGAGUUUUAUGAAAUUGUUCCCUAAUAUAUUAUAAAUAUAAAAUUUAACCCUAAUAUAUAUAUAUAUAUAUAUAUAUAUAUAUAUGUGUGUGUGUGUGUGAAUAUNAUAUAUAUGUGUGUGUGUGUGUGUGUGUAUCACAUGUCAACAUGAAUUUGUAUCGUGUCUAAACGUGUAAAUUUGUGUUUGACACGUGUAAGACACGAAACAUGAAUUUAAAAUGUGUCAGAUACGAAUAAACACGAAACAUGAAUUUCUAAAACACAUACACGAAAAACUCGUAUCGUGUUAAUCGUGUCAUGUAGCAAAUUGUCAGGUCUACACGAAACUUCAUGGUCAUCCUUUAUACUUUAUAUAAAGUCUAUUCCUCUAUAUAUUCACUAUCAUCAAGAACUAGACACCAUAUCCAAAACAAAUUAGAAGAGAAUCAAUGGCAUCUCCUAAUUUCCUAAUCUUCUAUCUCAUCUUGUAACUUUCUCUCUUUUUCUCUCUAGCUUUUACUCUUAUUGGCAUUUGAUAAAAUAUAAAUUUUGAAAAUUGAAUCACUUGUGAAGUUUCUUGGAGUUAAUCCUCAAAAUAAGAACUUACAAGUAGAGUGUGUGCAUGAAGCUUUCUUUACACAGAAGUUAACUUCGAUAACACGGCUAUGAAAUUACCAUAUAUUAAUCCAAAAUGUAGAUUACAUUUUAACAUACCCCUUAAUCUAGGCUUGAGUUACUUCUUCCUUUGUCCUCAAAUCUUGGAUGUUUAAUACUUUUAAUGAUUGUACGUUUGUUUUGUGAUUUCUUCAUGUGUACUCCUUUGCAACACAAGGUGAAAAACCUAUCAUAUACACCGUUCCAUUUGUUCUUUUGUUUAUCUUCUUUGAUUCUAUAUUUUUCUUUUUCACAAAUAUCUUCUCUUCCUUCUUUUAGUGUUUAAUUUCAACCAUCAUCCUUAUCCACCUGUUUAACAUUAACGAAAGAACGAAAGUAGCCACAUGUGACCAUUCCAUUGACACCCUAUAACCCUUCUUGAAAACUGGAUAAAGAUAAAAUAAAAUAAAAUAAAACUUUUUUCAUGCAUUGACUUUAAUCCUUCUUAGAACUCAUACAUCCCUUUCAGAAUAGAAAUCUGAUUCAUUUACUAUCGUUUGAUAUCAUGACGUUUCUUUCCUUCACUUUUGUAAGUACCCACGUGAUCAACCUUCUCUUCCCCUUUUCAAACAAUUUGUCUUCUUUUGAGUUAUUGUUGGUUCGUAUAUCACUCUUUAUUUAUUGAAAUCAAUAUCCAUUAAACCAUACCUUGAAGACCGUUCCUUUUCUUGACCAAAUAUUUUUGUAAGCUUGUAGAAUCAAUUCUCCAAAAUCCUUUCCUUAAUUCCUUAAGCUGGUCGGUGUGGUAAACGCCCACAUCGGCGUUUUUAGAUAAAAACAAAGAAACAGAGUUAAAUGAAGGUGGUGGUGGCAACGGGAAGCAACA